UGGGGAAUAUUGCACAAUGGGCGAAAGCCUGAUGCAGCAACGCCGCGUGCGGGAUGACGGCCUUCGGGUUGUAAACCGCUUUCAGCAGGGACGAAGGGUUUUCUGACGGUACCUGCAGAAGAAGCACCGGCUAACUACGUGCCAGCAGCCGCGGUGAUACGUAGGGUGCGAGCGUUGUCCGGAAUUAUUGGGCGUAAAGAGCUUGUAGGCGGUCCGUUGCGUCGGAAGUGAAAACUCAGGGCUUAACCCUGAGCCUGCUUCGUACGGGCGGACUUGAGGGAUGUAGGGGAGAACGGAAUUCCUGGUGGAGCGGUGGAAUGCGCAGAUAUCAGGAGGAACACCAGUGGCGAAGCGGUUCUCUGGACAUUUCCUGACGCUGAG
This 381-nucleotide ribosomal RNA is filed under the name uncultured bacterium. Its description in RNAcentral is "partial 16S ribosomal RNA". It matches the Rfam family "Bacterial small subunit ribosomal RNA", at positions 355 to 750 of the family's 1533-position model. The record is from RNAcentral.